CACCUCUCCAAAAACAAGUCUCUCACCGUUGCCGCCUGCUAUAGACCCCCCUCGGCCCCUAGCUGUGCUCUGGACACCAUAUGUGAACUGAUUGCCCCCCAUCUAUCUUCAGAGCUCGUGCUACUAGGCGACCUAAACUGGGACAUGCUUAACACCCCAGCCAUUCUACAAUCCAAGCUUGAUGCCCUCAAUCUCACACAAAUUAUUAAUGAACCCACCAGGUACAACCCCAAAGCCGCAAACACUGGCACCCUCAUAGAUAUCAUCCUAACCAAUGUGCCCUCUAAUUACACCUCUGCUGUUUUCAACCAAGAUCUCAGCGAUCACUGCCUCAUUGCCUGCACCCGUAAUGGGUCAGCGGUCAAACGACCUCCACUCAUCACUGUCAAGCGCUCCCUGAAACAUUUCAACGAGCAAGCCUUUCUAAUCGACCUGGCCCUGGUAUCCUGGAAGGAUAUUGACCUCAUCCCGUCAGUAGAGGAUGCCUGGUUAUUUUUUUUAAAUGCCUUCCUCUCCAUCUUAAAUAAGCAUGCCCCUUUCAAGAAAUUUAGAACCAGGAACAGAUAUAGCCCUUGGUUCUCCCCAGACCUGACUGCCCUUAACCAACACAAAAAUAUCCUGUGGCGUUCUGCAUUAGCAUCAAACUGCCCCCGCGAUAUGCAACUUUUUAGGGAAGUUAGAAACCAAUACACACAGGCAGUUAGAAACGCCAAGGCUAGCUUUUUCAAACAAAAAUUUGCUUCGUGCAACUCCAACUCUAAAAAGUUCUGGGACAUUGUAAAGUCCAUGGAGAAUAAGAACACCUCCUCCCAACUGCCCACUGCACUGAGGAUAGGAAACUCUGUCACCACCGAUAAGCCCACUAUAAUUGAGAAUUUCAAUAAGCAUUUUUCUACGGCUGGCCAUGCUUUCCACCUAACUACCCCUACUGCAUUCAACAGCACUGCACCCCCCACAGCUACUCGCCCAAGUCUCCCCCAUUUUCCUUCUCCCAAAUCCAUUCAGCUGAUGUUCUGAAAGAGCUGCAAAAUCUGGACCCCUACAAAUCAGCUGGGCUUGACAAUCUGGACCCUUUCUUUCUAAAAUUAUCUGCCGAAAUUAUUGCAACCCCUAUUACUAGCCUGUUCAACCUCUCUUUCGUGUCGUCUGAGAUUCCCAUAGAUUGGAAAGCAGCUGCUGUCAUCCCUC
Molecule: long non-coding RNA, 1188 nt
Filed under: Salmo trutta (river trout)
Lineage: Eukaryota; Metazoa; Chordata; Actinopteri; Salmoniformes; Salmonidae
Description: lncRNA (ENSSTUG00000020140.1)
Source: RNAcentral